Molecule: ribosomal RNA, 520 nt
Filed under: uncultured bacterium
Lineage: Bacteria
Description: partial 16S ribosomal RNA
Rfam family: Bacterial small subunit ribosomal RNA
Source: RNAcentral
GACGAACGCUGGCGGCGUGCCUAAUACAUGCAAGUCGAACGCACUCUCGUUUAGAUUGAAGGAGUUUGCCCCUGAUUGAUAAACAUUUGAGUGAGUGGCGGACGGGUGAGUAACACGUGGGUAACCUGCCCUAAAGUGGGGGAUAACAUUUGGAAACAGAUGCUAAUACCGCAUAAAACCUAACACCGCAUGGUGUAGGGUUGAAAGAUGGUUUCGGCUAUCACUUUAGGAUGGACCCGCGGUGCAUUAGUUAGUUGGUGAGGUAAAGGCUCACCAAGACCGUGAUGCAUAGCCGACCUGAGAGGGUAAUCGGCCACACUGGGACUGAGACACGGCCCAGACUCCUACGGGAGGCAGCAGUAGGGAAUCUUCCACAAUGGACGAAAGUCUGAUGGAGCAACGCCGCGUGAGUGAAGAAGGUUUUCGGAUCGUAAAACUCUGUUGUUGGAGAAGAAUGUAUCUGAUAGUAACUGAUCAGGUAGUGACGGUAUCCAACCAGAAAGCCACGGCUAACUACGUG